CGCCUACGGAAGCCUCUUGGGCAUCCUGCCGUGCUCCCGCGUCACGUGACUGCCGACCGGUCGCCGGGGUAACCAGUGACCUGGUCCCAGACCCUGCAGCCCGGAAGCCCCAGCUGGCUGGGCGCCAGCGCAACCCGGCCGCUCUCCCCGCGGAGACCUCAAACCUGAGGGGCGUCCCUGACGUGGCGGAGUCGCCCAUCCCUUCCGCAUCUCACUCGCCUUAUCUGGAACGCCCACUUGGCGGCCUGCUGGAUCCAACGAGAUCAUGAGAUCUCAAAAGGCUUUGGAAAUAGUGCAUGUCUCUAGAAAUGCCCGUAUCUAUUGUGUCAGAUACUGAGCAAGGGAUCUUCGAGAAGAACAAGAGUGUUUGUUUUCAAGGAGCUUAUGUCUAGCAGGGAAGCAAGAUCUGGACAAGCAGACGCAGACAGGGACACACAGGGAAGAGCCAUGUGAUGACAGACGCAGCCUGGAGUGAUGCAGCUGCAAGCCAAGGAGUGCCAAGGGCUGCUGGCCACUAUCAGAAGCUAGAAAGGGAUAAGGAAGAAUUCUACCCAGAGUCUCAGAGGGACCAUGUGAUAUUGUGAAACAUGUAUCUGGUCUUCAUACAUUUCAUGGUAUAAAAUUCCUAAACUUUUGGAAUCUUCAAA
Microcebus murinus (gray mouse lemur) is the source of this 647-nucleotide non-coding RNA. The record is from RefSeq and is a predicted model, not a curated record. Lineage: Eukaryota; Metazoa; Chordata; Mammalia; Primates; Cheirogaleidae.